RNAcentral lists this ribosomal RNA (318 nucleotides) under Bacillus sp. SR4.1. Its description in RNAcentral is "bacterial SSU rRNA". It matches the Rfam family "Bacterial small subunit ribosomal RNA", at positions 69 to 357 of the family's 1533-position model. Lineage: Bacteria; Bacillati; Bacillota; Bacilli; Caryophanales; Bacillaceae. The record is from RNAcentral.
ACUGAUAGCAGCUUGCUUCUAUGACGUUAGCGGCGGACGGGUGAGUAACACGUGGGCAACCUGCCUGUAAGACUGGGAUAACUUCGGGAAACCGAAGCUAAUACCGGAUAGGAUCUUCUCCUUCAUGGGAGAUGAUUGAAAGAUGGUUUCGGCUAUCACUUACAGAUGGGCCCGCGGUGCAUUAGCUAGUUGGUGAGGUAACGGCUCACCAAGGCAACGAUGCAUAGCCGACCUGAGAGGGUGAUCGGCCACACUGGGACUGAGACACGGCCCAGACUCCUACGGGAGGCAGCAGUGGUCAUAGCUUGNUUUUCCUGA